CCUACGGGCGGCAGCAGUGAGGAAUAUUGGUCAAUGGGCGCGAGCCUGAACCAGCCAAGUAGCGUGAAGGAUGACUGCCCUACGGGUUGUAAACUUCUUUUAUAAAGGAAUAAAGUGAGGCACGUGUGCCUUUUUGUAUGUACUUUAUGAAUAAGGAUCGGCUAACUCCGUGCCAGCAGCCGCGGUAAUACGGAGGAUCCGAGCGUUAUCCGGAUUUAUUGGGUUUAAAGGGAGCGUAGGUGGGUGGUUAAGUCAGGUGUGAAAGUUUGCGGCGCAACCGUAAAAUUGCAAUUGAUACUGGCAGUCUAGAGUAAAGUUGAGGUAGGCGGAAUUCGUGGUGUAGCGGUGAAAUGCUUAGAUAUCACGAAGAACUCCGAUUGCGAAGGCAGCUUACUAAGCUGCCACUGACAUUGAUGCUCGAAAGUGUGGGUAUCAAACAGGAUUAGAUACCCGGGUAGUC
RNAcentral lists this ribosomal RNA (460 nucleotides) under uncultured bacterium. RNAcentral describes it as "partial 16S ribosomal RNA". It matches the Rfam family "Bacterial small subunit ribosomal RNA", at positions 338 to 795 of the family's 1533-position model. The record is from RNAcentral.